Molecule: ribosomal RNA, 2925 nt
Filed under: Escherichia coli
Lineage: Bacteria; Pseudomonadati; Pseudomonadota; Gammaproteobacteria; Enterobacterales; Enterobacteriaceae
Description: 23S ribosomal RNA
Rfam family: Bacterial large subunit ribosomal RNA
Source: RNAcentral
GGGUUGUGAGGUUAAGCGACUAAGCGUACACGGUGGAUGCCCUGGCAGUCAGAGGCGAUGAAGGACGUGCUAAUCUGCGAUAAGCGUCGGUAAGGUGAUAUGAACCGUUAUAACCGGCGAUUUCCGAAUGGGGAAACCCAGUGUGUUUCGACACACUAUCAUUAACUGAAUCCAUAGGUUAAUGAGGCGAACCGGGGGAACUGAAACAUCUAAGUACCCCGAGGAAAAGAAAUCAACCGAGAUUCCCCCAGUAGCGGCGAGCGAACGGGGAGCAGCCCAGAGCCUGAAUCAGUGUGUGUGUUAGUGGAAGCGUCUGGAAAGGCGCGCGAUACAGGGUGACAGCCCCGUACACAAAAAUGCACAUGCUGUGAGCUCGAUGAGUAGGGCGGGACACGUGGUAUCCUGUCUGAAUAUGGGGGGACCAUCCUCCAAGGCUAAAUACUCCUGACUGACCGAUAGUGAACCAGUACCGUGAGGGAAAGGCGAAAAGAACCCCGGCGAGGGGAGUGAAAAAGAACCUGAAACCGUGUACGUACAAGCAGUGGGAGCCUCUUUAUGGGGUGACUGCGUACCUUUUGUAUAAUGGGUCAGCGACUUAUAUUCUGUAGCAAGGUUAACCGAAUAGGGGAGCCGAAGGGAAACCGAGUCUUAACUGGGCGUUAAGUUGCAGGGUAUAGACCCGAAACCCGGUGAUCUAGCCAUGGGCAGGUUGAAGGUUGGGUAACACUAACUGGAGGACCGAACCGACUAAUGUUGAAAAAUUAGCGGAUGACUUGUGGCUGGGGGUGAAAGGCCAAUCAAACCGGGAGAUAGCUGGUUCUCCCCGAAAGCUAUUUAGGUAGCGCCUCGUGAAUUCAUCUCCGGGGGUAGAGCACUGUUUCGGCAAGGGGGUCAUCCCGACUUACCAACCCGAUGCAAACUGCGAAUACCGGAGAAUGUUAUCACGGGAGACACACGGCGGGUGCUAACGUCCGUCGUGAAGAGGGAAACAACCCAGACCGCCAGCUAAGGUCCCAAAGUCAUGGUUAAGUGGGAAACGAUGUGGGAAGGCCCAGACAGCCGGGAUGUUGGCUUAGAAGCAGCCAUCAUUUAAAGAAAGCGUAAUAGCUCACUGGUCGAGUCGGCCUGCGCGGAAGAUGUAACGGGGCUAAACCAUGCACCGAAGCUGCGGCAGCGACACUAUGUGUUGUUGGGUAGGGGAGCGUUCUGUAAGCCUGUGAAGGUGUACUGUGAGGUAUGCUGGAGGUAUCAGAAGUGCGAAUGCUGACAUAAGUAACGAUAAAGCGGGUGAAAAGCCCGCUCGCCGGAAGACCAAGGGUUCCUGUCCAACGUUAAUCGGGGCAGGGUGAGUCGACCCCUAAGGCGAGGCCGAAAGGCGUAGUCGAUGGGAAACAGGUUAAUAUUCCUGUACUUGGUGUUACUGCGAAGGGGGGACGGAGAAGGCUAUGUUGGCCGGGCGACGGUUGUCCCGGUUUAAGCGUGUAGGCUGGUUUUCCAGGCAAAUCCGGAAAAUCAAGGCUGAGGCGUGAUGACGAGGCACUACGGUGCUGAAGCAACAAAUGCCCUGCUUCCGGGAAAAGCCUCUAAGCAUCAGGUAACAUCAAAUCGUACCCCAAACCGACACAGGUGGUCAGGUAGAGAAUACCAAGGCGCUUGAGAGAACUCGGGUGAAGGAACUAGGCAAAAUGGUGCCGUAACUUCGGGAGAAGGCACGCUGAUAUGUAGGUGAAGUCCCUCGCGGAUGGAGCUGAAAUCAGUCGAAGAUACCAGCUGGCUGCAACUGUUUAUUAAAAACACAGCACUGUGCAAACACGAAAGUGGACGUAUACGGUGUGACGCCUGCCCGGUGCCGGAAGGUUAAUUGAUGGGGUUAGCGGUAACGCGAAGCUCUUGAUCGAAGCCCCGGUAAACGGCGGCCGUAACUAUAACGGUCCUAAGGUAGCGAAAUUCCUUGUCGGGUAAGUUCCGACCUGCACGAAUGGCGUAAUGAUGGCCGUGCUGUCUCCACCCGAGACUCAGUGAAAUUGAACUCGCUGUGAAGAUGCAGUGUACCCGCGGCAAGACGGAAAGACCCCGUGAACCUUUACUAUAGCUUGACACUGAACAUUGAGCCUUGAUGUGUAGGAUAGGUGGGAGGCUUUGAAGUGUGGACGCCAGUCUGCAUGGAGCCGACCUUGAAAUACCACCCUUUAAUGUUUGAUGUUCUAACGUUGGCCCCUGAUCGGGGUUGCGGACAGUGUCUGGUGGGUAGUUUGACUGGGGCGGUCUCCUCCUAAAGAGUAACGGAGGAGCACGAAGGUUGGCUAAUCCUGGUCGGACAUCAGGAGGUUAGUGCAAUGGCAUAAGCCAGCUUGACUGCGAGCGUGACGGCGCGAGCAGGUGCGAAAGCAGGUCAUAGUGAUCCGGUGGUUCUGAAUGGAAGGGCCAUCGCUCAACGGAUAAAAGGUACUCCGGGGAUAACAGGCUGAUACCGCCCAAGAGUUCAUAUCGACGGCGGUGUUUGGCACCUCGAUGUCGGCUCAUCACAUCCCGGGGCUGAAGUAGGUCCCAAGGGUAUGGCUGUUCGCCAUUUAAAGUGGUACGCGAGCUGGGUUUAGAACGUCGUGAGACAGUUCGGUCCCUAUCUGCCGUGGGCGCUGGAGAACUGAGGGGGGCUGCUCCUAGUACGAGAGGACCGGAGUGGACGCAUCACUGGUGUUCGGGUUGUCAUGCCAAUGGCACUGCCCGGUAGCUAAAUGCGGAAGAGAUAAGUGCUGAAAGCAUCUAAGCACGAAACUUGCCCCGAGAUGAGUUCUCCCUGACUCCUUGAGAGUCCUGAAGGAACGUUGAAGACGACGACGUUGAUAGGCCGGGUGUGUAAGCGCAGCGAUGCGUUGAGCUAACCGGUACUAAUGAACCGUGAGGCUUAACCUUACAACGCCGAAG